UACGAAGGGGGCUAGCGUUGCUCGGAAUCACUGGGCGUAAAGCGCACGUAGGCGGCUUCUUAAGUCAGGGGUGAAAGCCUGGAGCUCAACUCCAGAACUGCCUUUGAUACUGAGGAGCUUGAGUCCGGGGAGAGGUGAGUGGAACUGCGAGUGUAGAGGUGAAAUUCGUAGAUAUUCGCAAGAACACCAGUGGCGAAGGCGGCUCACUGGCCCGGUACUGACGCUGAGGUGCGAAAGCGUGGGGAGCAACAGG
RNAcentral lists this ribosomal RNA (253 nucleotides) under uncultured bacterium. RNAcentral describes it as "partial 16S ribosomal RNA". It matches the Rfam family "Bacterial small subunit ribosomal RNA", at positions 524 to 775 of the family's 1533-position model. The record is from RNAcentral.